RNAcentral lists this ribosomal RNA (279 nucleotides) under uncultured bacterium. RNAcentral's name for it is "partial 16S ribosomal RNA". It matches the Rfam family "Bacterial small subunit ribosomal RNA", at positions 506 to 784 of the family's 1533-position model. The record is from RNAcentral.
UGCCAGCCGCCUCGGUAAUACUGAGUGUGCAAUCGUUAAUCGGAAUUACUGGGCGCAAAGCGUGCGUAGGCGGAUCGACAAGUUGGGGGUGAAAUCCCGGGGCUUAACCCCGGAACUGCCCUCAAAACUGUCGAUCUAGAGACCGGGAGAGGUAAGCGGAAUUCCUAGUGUAGAGGUGAAAUUCGUAGAUAUUAGGAAGAACACCAGUGGCGAAGGCGGCUUACUGGACCGGUACUGACGCUGAGGUACGAAAGCGUGGGGAGCGAACAGGAUUAGAUA